RNAcentral lists this ribosomal RNA (504 nucleotides) under uncultured bacterium. RNAcentral's name for it is "partial 16S ribosomal RNA". It matches the Rfam family "Bacterial small subunit ribosomal RNA", at positions 29 to 523 of the family's 1533-position model. The record is from RNAcentral.
AUUGAACGCUGGCGGCAGGCCUAACACAUGCAAGUCGAACGGUAGCACAGAGAGCUUGCUCUCGGGUGACGAGUGGCGGACGGGUGAGUAACGUCUGGGAAACUGCCCGAUGGAGGGGGAUAACUAAUGGAAACGGUAGCUAAUACCGCAUAACGUAGCAAGACCAAAGUGGGGGACCUUCGGGCCGCACACGAUCGGAGGUGCCCAGAGGGGAUUAGCUAGUAGGGGGGGUAAUGGCUCACCUAGGAGACGAUCCCUAGCUGGUCUGAGAGGAUGACCAGCCACACUGGAACUGAGACACGGUCCAGACUCCUACGGGAGGCAGCAGUGGGGAAUAUUGCACAAUGGGCGCAAGCCUGAUGCAGCCAUGCCGCGUGUAUGAAGAAGGCCUUCGGGUUGUAAAGUACUUUCAGCGGGGAGGAAGGCGGUGAAGUUAAUAACUUCACCGAUUGACGUUACCCGCAGAAGAAGCACCGGCUAACUCCGUGCCAGCCGCCGCGGUAA